Molecule: ribosomal RNA, 165 nt
Filed under: Solanum arundo
Lineage: Eukaryota; Viridiplantae; Streptophyta; Magnoliopsida; Solanales; Solanaceae
Also listed under: 2 other names
Description: 5.8S ribosomal RNA
Rfam family: 5.8S ribosomal RNA
About the family: 5.8S ribosomal RNA (5.8S rRNA) is a component of the large subunit of the eukaryotic ribosome. It is transcribed by RNA polymerase I as part of the 45S precursor that also contains 18S and 28S rRNA. Functionally, it is thought that 5.8S rRNA may be involved in ribosome translocation.
Source: RNAcentral
CAAAACGACUCUCGGCAACGGAUAUCUCGGCUCUCGCAUCGAUGAAGAACGUAGCGAAAUGCGAUACUUGGUGUGAAUUGCAGAAUCCCGUGAACCAUCGAGUCUUUGAACGCAAGUUGCGCCCGAAGCCGUCAGGCCGAGGGCACGUCUGCCUGGGCGUCACGC